UCUCCUACGGGGGGCAGCAGUGGGGGAUAUUGCACAAUGGGGGAAACCCUGAUGCAGCGACGCCGCGUGGGUGAAGAAGCGCCUCGGCGCGUAAAGCCCUGUCAGCAGGGAAGAAAAUGACGGUACCUGAAGAAGAAGCCCCGGCUAACUACGUGCCAGCAGCCGCGGUAAUACGUAGGGGGCAAGCGUUAUCCGGAAUUACUGGGUGUAAAGGGAGCGUAGGCGGCAAGGUAAGUAAGAUGUGAAAGCCCGCAGCUUAACUGCGAGGAUUGCAUUUUAAACUAUCUAGCUUGAGUACAGGAGAG
Molecule: ribosomal RNA, 305 nt
Filed under: uncultured bacterium
Lineage: Bacteria
Description: bacterial SSU rRNA
Rfam family: Bacterial small subunit ribosomal RNA
Source: RNAcentral